GGAAAUGUGCCUGAGUAAAAAGGAUUACUUUGAUAGAGUAAAACACGAGGGUUAAAACCCCUCCAUCUCCU
Molecule: transfer RNA, 71 nt
Filed under: Neoceratodus forsteri (Australian lungfish)
Lineage: Eukaryota; Metazoa; Chordata; Ceratodontiformes; Ceratodontidae
Description: tRNA-Ile
Rfam family: tRNA
About the family: Transfer RNA (tRNA) molecules are approximately 80 nucleotides in length.
Source: RNAcentral